AACCAGCGCCUCGAGUGGUACCCACGAAUAUUGGGCCUAGAGCGUCCGUAGCCGGGUUAGUAAGUCCGCUGUGAAAUGUUGGGGCUCAACCCUAACGCUUGCUUUGGAUACUGCUAGUCUUGGGAACGGGGGAGGACCGGAGUACUUCCGGGGUAGGGGUAAAAUCGUUUUCAGUUUCCUGUUUUUGGGUUCUGGAACCAUUAUAUUCCGUUGAUCCUGAAAGGACUACCAGUGGCGUAAACUUUUUAGGAAAAAGUUUAAUCAAAAACUGCCUGAAAAGUUUCCAUAUAAGGCGCCGGUCCAAAACGUGUCCGACGGUGAGGGACGAAAGCUGGGGGAGCGAACGGGAUUAGAUACCCCGGUAGUCCCAGCUGUAAAUAAUGCAGACUGUGGUGUUGCAUAUGAGUAAUCAUAUGCAGUGCUGUAGCGUAAACACACGACAUGCCGGUAUAUGGCGAUGGAGUGUGGCGAAAGUGUUAAGUCUGCCGCCUGGGGAGUACGGUCGCAAGACUUAAACUUAAAGGAAUUGGCGGGGGAGCACCACAAGCCGUGGAUGCUACGGUUUAAUUGGAUACAACGCCGGAAAUAUCACCAAGGGCGACGGCAGUAUGAAGGCCAGACUAAAGAUCUUGCCUAACGAGCCGAGAGGUAUUGCAUGGCCAUCGUCAGCUCGUGGUGUGAGAGCCUUUUGACCGCUGUCCUUAUUGGGGCAAAACCCUCGGGAAAUGCCCUGAGGCAAACAUGUCAAUCGGCUGCAUACACUGUCCUGUUAAGUCAGGUAACGAGCGAGACCCAUGCCCUUAGUUACUAACUUCAUCUCCGGAUGAGGUGUACUCUAAGGGGACUGCCCGUGCUAAAUGGGAGGAAGGAGUGGGCGACGGUAGGUCAGUAUGGUCCGAAACCCCUGGGGUACACGCGGCAUACAGUGGAUGGAACAAUGGGCUGCAACUUCGAAAGGAGGAGCGAAUCCCCUAAAUCCAUCCGUAGUUCGGAUUGAGGGUUGCAACACAUUAUUUGACCACGUUUUUUAUAAUGAGGUCAAAAAAUGGGCAAAUCACCCUCAUGAAGAUGGAAUGGCUAGUAAUCGCGCGUCACUAUCGCGCGGUGAAUGUGUCCCCGCUCCU
Molecule: ribosomal RNA, 1124 nt
Filed under: uncultured archaeon
Lineage: Archaea
Description: partial small subunit ribosomal RNA
Rfam family: Archaeal small subunit ribosomal RNA
Source: RNAcentral